GACGAACGCUGGCGGCGUGCUUAACACAUGCAAGUCGAACGGCAAGGCCCUGCUUUUGUGGGGUGCUCGAGUGGCGAACGGGUGAGUAACACGUGAGUAACCUGCCCUUGACUUUGGGAUAACUUCAGGAAACUGGGGCUAAUACCGGAUAGGAGCUCCUGCUGCAUGGUGGGGGUUGGAAAGUUUCGGCGGUUGGGGAUGGACUCGCGGCUUAUCAGCUUGUUGGUGGGGUAGUGGCUUACCCAGGCUGUGACGGGUAGCCGGCCUGAGAGGGUGACCGGCCACAUUGGGACUGAGAGACGGCCCAGACUCCUACGGGAGGCAGCAGUGGGGAAUAUUGCACAAUGGGCGGAAGCCGGAGGCAGCAACGCCGCGUGCGGGAUGACGGCCUUCGGGUUGUAAACCGCUUUCGCCUGUGACGAAGCGUGAGUGACGGUAAUGGGUAAAGAAGCACCGGCUAACUACGUG
RNAcentral lists this ribosomal RNA (468 nucleotides) under uncultured bacterium. RNAcentral describes it as "partial 16S ribosomal RNA". It matches the Rfam family "Bacterial small subunit ribosomal RNA", at positions 28 to 507 of the family's 1533-position model. The record is from RNAcentral.